GCGGCGGUGGUGGAAUUGGUAGACACGCUAGCUUGAGGGGCUAGUGGUAGCAAUAUCGUGCUGGUUCAAGUCCAGUUCGCCGCA
RNAcentral lists this transfer RNA (84 nucleotides) under Candidatus Haliotispira prima. Its description in RNAcentral is "Spirochaetaceae bacterium SP-2023 tRNA-Leu". It matches the Rfam family "tRNA". Rfam says of the family: Transfer RNA (tRNA) molecules are approximately 80 nucleotides in length. The record is from RNAcentral. Lineage: Bacteria; Pseudomonadati; Spirochaetota; Spirochaetia; Spirochaetales; Spirochaetaceae.